GGGGAAUAUUGGGCAAUGGGCGCAAGCCUGACCCAGCAACGCCGCGUGAGGGAAGAAGGCCUUCGGGUUGUAAACCUCUGUCCUAUGGGAAGAAAAAAAUGACGGUACCAUAGGAGGAAGCUCCGGCUAACUACGUGCCAGCAGCCGCGGUAAUACGUAGGGAGCGAGCGUUGUCCGGAAUUACUGGGCGUAAAGGGUGCGUAGGCGGUUAUUUAAGUCAGAUGUGAAAUACUUGAGCUUAACUCAGGGGCUGCAUCUGAUACUGGGUGACUAGAGUGCAGGAGAGGAAAGUGGAAUUCCUAGUGUAGCGGUGGAAUGCGUAGAUAUUAGGAGGAACACCAGUGGCGAAGGCGACUUUCUGGACUGUAACUGACGCUGAGGCACGAAAGUAUGGGUAGCAAAC
RNAcentral lists this ribosomal RNA (403 nucleotides) under uncultured bacterium. Its description in RNAcentral is "bacterial SSU rRNA". It matches the Rfam family "Bacterial small subunit ribosomal RNA", at positions 356 to 773 of the family's 1533-position model. The record is from RNAcentral.